This is a long non-coding RNA of Pezoporus occidentalis (night parrot), 251 nucleotides long. RefSeq lists it as uncharacterized. The transcript is spliced from 3 exons. The record is from RefSeq and is a predicted model, not a curated record. Lineage: Eukaryota; Metazoa; Chordata; Aves; Psittaciformes; Psittacidae.
GAUCUCUUAGGUUGCAGUUCAGUCCAUUUUAUUUAUCCUAAAGAUGGGAAUCUAGACUGAGAAGAACUAGUCCAGGCUUACAGAAAGGAUGAGAUGGGAAGGGACAUCUGAAGAUUGUGUAGUCCAACCUCCCUACUUAAAGAAGAGUCAUCUAAGGCAGUGUGGCUGCAUGAUGGUGAUCUCCCCUUGAGCUAGGAUGCUUCCCAAGUUUUGAGAUUCCUUGCCUGAGACUGAGAGAUCCUUUCUUAUCC